UCGUGGAUUGAUUUGUCUGGUUAAUUCCGUUAACGAACGAGACUUUAACUUGCUAGUUGGAGCAUUCCCAAUCUCUGGGCAUGCUGCUCUAGAAGGACCAUGUGUAUCUAACACAAGGAAGCGUGAAGCAAUAACA
Molecule: ribosomal RNA, 136 nt
Filed under: uncultured eukaryote
Lineage: Eukaryota
Description: partial 18S ribosomal RNA
Rfam family: Eukaryotic small subunit ribosomal RNA
Source: RNAcentral